RNAcentral lists this ribosomal RNA (253 nucleotides) under uncultured bacterium. RNAcentral describes it as "partial 16S ribosomal RNA". It matches the Rfam family "Bacterial small subunit ribosomal RNA", at positions 524 to 776 of the family's 1533-position model. The record is from RNAcentral.
GACAGAGGGUGCAAACGUUGUUCGGAAUUACUGGGCGUAAAGCGUGUGUAGGCGGUCCACUAAGUCGGGUGUGAAAGCCCUGGGCUCAACCCAGGAAGUGCACUCGAAACUGGCGGGCUUGAGUAUCGGAGAGGUUGGUGGAAUUCUCGGUGUAGAGGUGAAAUUCGUAGAUAUCGAGAGGAACACCGGUGGCGAAGGCGGCCAACUGGACGAAUACUGACGCUGAGACACGAAAGCGUGGGGAGCAAACAGG